RNAcentral lists this long non-coding RNA (553 nucleotides) under Mytilus galloprovincialis (Mediterranean mussel). Lineage: Eukaryota; Metazoa; Mollusca; Bivalvia; Mytilida; Mytilidae. The record is from RNAcentral.
GUUUGAAAGCCUACACAUAGAUAAAUGUGGUAUGAGUGUCAAUUUGACAACCUUUCAUCCAAGUCAUAAAUUUACGCUUAUGGAAUUGAAGUUUGUCCUUUGGCAUUAUAAGGCUUGUGUGUGAGGAUUUCUGGCGAAGUUUGACUUUUAAAUAAUCGAAUACACCGUAUCAGCUAUGGCGUUUGUACCAUAAAGAGAUUGUACAGAUUGAAACAUAAAAAAACCUUCUUGAUCUCGUAAAAUUGAAUAUGUCUCAAACCGAUUAUUCUUUCCUUUUUCUCUUGUUGUCUCCGAAAAUAAUGUGGAGUGUUUCAAUUUGAAAUGAUUAAUUAUUAAAAAGAAGAUAUGGUAUGAUUGCCAAUGAGACAAUUCUCCACAUGAGACCAAAAUGACACAGAAAUGAACAACUAUAGGUCACCGUACGACAUUUUUCAUUACUUGUUUUGCUUGUUUCUUUAAGCAUGUUAUUCGUACUAUCACGUACACAUUGAGUACAGUCACAUUGGUUUGCAUUUCACAAUUUUUGAGUUAGCAUUUCGUUUAAAGUAAGACU